Molecule: ribosomal RNA, 420 nt
Filed under: uncultured bacterium
Lineage: Bacteria
Description: partial 16S ribosomal RNA
Rfam family: Bacterial small subunit ribosomal RNA
Source: RNAcentral
AUUUUCUGCAAUGGGGGCAACCCUGACCGAGCGACGCCGCGUGAGUGAAGAAGGCCUUCGGGUUGUAUAGCUCUCUUGUAAGGGAGGAACCGUAGUGAGAGGGAAUGAUCACUACAUGACGGUACCUUACCAGAAAGCCACGGCUAACUACGUGCCAGCAGCCGCGGUAAUACGUAGGUGGCAAGCUUUAUCCGGAAGUAUUGGGCGUAAAGGGAGCGCAGGGGGUUUAAUAAGUCUGGUGUUAAAAAACGGAGCUAAACUUCGUGAUGCAUUAGAAACUGGUAGACUAGAGUGGAGGAGAGGUGAGUGGAAUUCCAUGUGUAGCGUUAAAAUGCGAAGAUAUAUGGAGGAACACCAGUGGCGAAGGCGGCUCACUGGCCUGUAACGGACGCUGAGGCUCGAAAGCGUGGGGAGCAAAUA